AAAAUCCUUUUGCGAUCAACUUGCUUGGAGACGACUCUAUGUAUUAUGCUUUUCUCAUCACAUAAAGAGAACCAAGAAGACUAUAAAAAAAAAAAAAAAAAACUUUGAAGUCGUUUUCUCCAUAAAAAAAUGGAUUGGCUAAAAGGUGAAACUUUUGAGCUUAUAUACAUUCAUUCAAACAAGCAUACAAAAUUUUUCAAAAUGAUUCUAAUAUAAUUAUUAUAAUAAUAAGUAUUAAGAAAAGUGAUUAAAAUUGGAAAAAUGCCCACUAACAAAGUACUUUAAUUUAUCCUCCCACAAGGAGAAAUUAACAAACACGAAAAGAAAAAGGUGUGUGUGUGUAUGAUUGGUGUUUGUCCAAAAAAUUUAGAAGGAUCAAGAUGAACUUCUUCCUUCUUAUCUUUUUCUCCUUCUUCUCUUAUUCGUAUAGUUUAAUCAAAAAUUAUUGUUCUUUACAUAUUUAAGUUUCUACAAACAACACCUUUAAAAUAUAAAAAUAUAAAACUAAGAAAAAAAAGAGAAUGUUUAUAUAAAAUUCCCUCCUACGAUACUUCAGGUUAUUUGAUUUUUCACCAUUUUUAUUUUUAUUCUCUUCAACUUUUUAAAAUUUUCAAUUCUUUAAUUGAUUGGUAUAGAUACCUGAUAUUGAUGUAUAACUCAUUUUACUAUAUAAUACUACUAGGCAAAAUAUCUCUAGAAAGAUCAAAUAGUGUACUGCAUGUUCUGUUCCUUUUUAUAUACCUCUAUCCAAAAGUUUUUUCUUACAAGAAAAAUGUAGUAAGUAAUAUGAAAUUUAAAUACAUAUAUAGUCUUUUAAAUUAUGAGCAUUUUUAAAUUAAAACAUAACUUUUUUUUUUGGUAUUUUUAGGAUAUAUACUAUAUUGUUUUGUGUUCAACAUCUUAAUUAAUAUUUUGAAUAGUGGUUUGUGCGGGCAUCUCUAUAUUAGUAUAUUAUGUUUUUAAUCCGUUUCUAUUAUGUUUGCUUACAUAUCGUAUGUUGUUAGUUAUUUUCAUAAUUGUUUUGUUGAUAGAUCUAAACAAUUAGGUUAGUGGGCUAUGACCAUGGCCCAACAGUUUUGCUGCAAAUGUGGCCCAUUUGUCUUUUUGAAUACAUAGCAUAUUAUGUCAUAGUUGUUUUUUGUUUACAGAUCUAAAUAGUUAGGUUAGGAUGUUUCCAUAUAAUUGCUGUCAAAUUCUUAUCGAAUGUUGUGUUUUUAAUCAGUUUCACAUUUGUUUACUUAUAUUUUUUUUGCUUACACAGUGUAUGUUGUUAGUUAUUUUCAUAAUUAUUUUGUUGAUAGAUCAUAAUUAGGUUAGUGGGAUAUGACCAUGGGCCAGUUUUGCUGCAAAUCUGGCCCAUUUGUCUUUUUGAAUACAUAGCGUACUAUGUCAUAUUUUUUUUUUGUUUACAGAUCUAAACAAUUAGGUUAUGAUGCUUCUAUAUAAUUUUUGUCCAAUUCUUAUUGAAUCUUGUGUUUUUAGUUAGUUUCGGAUCUGUUUGCUUGCAUAGUGUAUGUUGUUAGUUAUUUUCAUAUUUGUUUUGUUGAUAGAUCACAGUUAGGUUAGUGAGCUAUGCCCCAACAGUUUUGCUGCAAAUAUGGCCCAUUUGUUAGCAACAUAUAUAGUAGCAGUAAAACCUCUAUAAAUUAAUACUCGAUAAAUUAAUAAUCUCUAUAAAUUAAUAUAUUUUUUUGUUUUAGACACAUUUCAAUAAAAUUAUAAAAUAAUAAUAUUUUUGAAAAUCCAUUGUAAAUAUAUGGUCCCAAUAAUAGUAUAAAUUAAUAUUACAUAAAAUUAUUAAUAUUUAGGGAAAUUCUCUUAAAUUCCUUGAAAAUAGGUAUUUUUCCAAGAUACCAUUACUAGUUUUACUUUCCAAAAACUAUCACUAAAAUACUUUUUCCAAAAAUACAACAAAAAUAAAACUAAAAUUUUUAAUAUUCAAAACUAAUUCUUAAAUCCUAAACACUAAACCCUACCUCUAAAAGUUAUACUCUAAAUAUAAAUAUUCAACCCAAACAUUAAAAAGAUAAUUCUAUACCUUCAAAAAUCAAAUUAUUAUGUUUAUAGUAAGCACAAAAAGAAUAUUUUUUUGCUUUAUAUCAAAUAAUAAUUAAAAUUAUUUUAAAAAACCAUAACUAUCUGUACAUAUCUUCACCGAAAACAAAAUUAUUUUAGAAAAUUAUUUUUAAUAAACACAACUCAUGGAAAUGGAUUUGUAUUUUCUCAAGUUCAUUGUCAUACAUACUUAUUUAAAGUUUGCAAGGGGAAAAAAGAAAAUAUGAUAUGAGCCUAGAUGUUUGAAUAUGGGCUUUUUAAUAAUUUCAAUUGGGCCGUUUUUCACUUCCGUUGUAAGAGAUCACUUUUAAAAAUGCGGCCCAAUGGAUUUUGAAGGUGGGAAAAAGAAAUCACACGCACACGGAUAAAGGAACUAUGUAGUGUUUUGUAACAGUACAGCUUGAAAUAAAGUUUCCUUAAAUUGUGUGUGACACCAACUUUCAAUAAAGGCAAGUAGCCAAAGCAGAAAAGGUGAAACUGAUAGCUUUUUUUUCCAGAAUGAAGAAAAAGAAAAAGCUAAUUCGAAUAUCAAAUAAAGAAGACAAGUUCUCUGUGACCAUUGUAGUGAACUCGACUUUUUAUAGCAAAAGCAAAUAAACAAAGUGGAGUCUUUCUUUGUCCACUCUCAUCAGUCAUCACACGCUUUACUUCUUUAUCUCGUGACUCUCAAAGCCAAAUAGAAUUCGUCAGUUUUGUUUGGAUUUAUAGAAAUUCAAGAGCCAUCGAUGUGUCUGUGAUCUUCAAAUGGGUCUAUGCUCAGCUCACUUGGCUGUAAUAUGCUUGUUCAUAGUACCUUGUGUUCUUUCCCAAGUUACAGGUAUACUCUGUUCUGCUCAUAAUCUGUUUGUUUGAAUGCUCCAAAGAAAGAGUGUGUUUUUGUGUGUGUGUGUGUGUAGAAAGUCUUGUUCUUGAUGUGUUCUUGAUGAUGUACAAUCAUAAAGCUUUGAUCUUUAGAUUUUAUAAACAAGGUUUGCCUCGAAUUCUCCAACACUAAACUGUUUUCUGGUUAAAAUUGUCCACUGCAAAGAAUGGUUUUGUGGAAUUUUAGCGUAGAAGACUCUUGUCAAGCGGUUUGCUGUAAUGGAAAAAGUGGAAUUUUGAUGAAUGGCUAUUUUUGCAGAGUUUGU
This 3182-nucleotide long non-coding RNA is filed under the name Capsella rubella. RNAcentral's name for it is "long non-coding RNA (CRUB_LNC004344)". Lineage: Eukaryota; Viridiplantae; Streptophyta; Magnoliopsida; Brassicales; Brassicaceae. The record is from RNAcentral.